RNAcentral lists this ribosomal RNA (429 nucleotides) under Fusobacteriota bacterium. Its description in RNAcentral is "Fusobacteria bacterium partial 16S ribosomal RNA". It matches the Rfam family "Bacterial small subunit ribosomal RNA", at positions 355 to 776 of the family's 1533-position model. The record is from RNAcentral. Lineage: Bacteria; Fusobacteriati; Fusobacteriota.
UGGGGAAUAUUGCACAAUGGGCGCAAGCCUGAUGCAGCCAUGCCGCGUGUAUGAAGAAGGCCUUCGGGUUGUAAAGUACUUUCAGCGGGGAGGAAGGGAGUAAAGUUAAUACCUUUGCUCAUUGACGGUACCCGCAGAAGAAGCACCGGCUAACUCCGUGCCAGCAGCCGCGGUAAUACGGAGGGUGCAAGCGUUAAUCGGAAUUACUGGGCGUAAAGCGCACGCAGGCGGUUUGUUAAGUCAGAUGUGAAAUCCCCGGGCUCAACCUGGGAACUGCAUCUGAUACUGGCAAGCUUGAGUCUCGUAGAGGGGGGUAGAAUUCCAGGUGUAGCGGUGAAAUGCGUAGAGAUAUGGAGGAAUACCGGUGGCGAAGGCGGCCACCUGGACGAAGACUGACGCUAAGGUGCGAAAGCGUGGGGAGCAAACAGG